RNAcentral lists this ribosomal RNA (433 nucleotides) under uncultured bacterium. RNAcentral describes it as "partial 16S ribosomal RNA". It matches the Rfam family "Bacterial small subunit ribosomal RNA", at positions 29 to 507 of the family's 1533-position model. The record is from RNAcentral.
AACGAACGCUGGCGGCAUACCUAACACAUGCAAGUCGAACGAGACCUUCGGGUCUAGUGGCGCACGGGUGCGUAACGCGUGGGAACCUGCCCUUAGGUUCGGAAUAACUCCCCGAAAGGGGUGCUAAUACCGGAUAAUGUCUUCGGACCAAAGAUUUAUCGCCUUUGGAUGGGCCCGCGUUGGAUUAGCUAGUUGGUAGGGUAAAAGCCUACCAAGGCGACGAUCCAUAGCUAGUCUGAGAGGAUGAUCAGCCACACUGGGACUGAGACACGGCCCAGACUCCUACGGGAGGCAGCAGUGGGGAAUAUUGGACAAUGGGCGAAAGCCUGAUCCAGCAAUGCCGCGUGAGUGAUGAAGGCCUUAGGGUUGUAAAGCUCUUUUACCCGGGAUGAUAAUGACAGUACCGGGAGAAUAAGCUCCGGCUAACUCCGUG